AGCUCCAAUAGCGUAUAUUAAAGUUGUUGCAGUUAAAAAGCUCGUAGUUGGAUUUCGGGUUUAGGCGGGCGGUUCGCCUCGCGGCGAUCACUGCUCGACCUGACCUAGCCGCCGAUCCUCCCUUGGUGCUCUUGACUGAGUGUCUCGGGGCGUCGGAACGUUUACUUUGAAAAAAUUAGAGUGCUCAAAGCAGGCGAUUCGCCUGAAUACUCGUGCAUGGAAUAAUGGAAGAGGACCUCGGUUCUAUUGUGUUGGUUUUUGGAACUAGAGGUAAUGAUUAAGAGGGACAGACGGGGGCAUCCGUAUUACGGCGUUAGAGGUGAAAUUCUUGGAUCGCCGUAAGACGAACUACUGCGAAAGCAUUUGCCAAGAAUGUUUUCA
RNAcentral lists this ribosomal RNA (381 nucleotides) under marine Metazoa environmental sample. RNAcentral describes it as "SSU rRNA". It matches the Rfam family "Eukaryotic small subunit ribosomal RNA", at positions 587 to 972 of the family's 1831-position model. The record is from RNAcentral. Lineage: Eukaryota; Metazoa.